RNAcentral lists this ribosomal RNA (942 nucleotides) under Massilia agri. Its description in RNAcentral is "bacterial SSU rRNA". It matches the Rfam family "Bacterial small subunit ribosomal RNA", at positions 53 to 994 of the family's 1533-position model. Lineage: Bacteria; Pseudomonadati; Pseudomonadota; Betaproteobacteria; Burkholderiales; Oxalobacteraceae. The record is from RNAcentral.
ACCUGCAGUCGAACGGCAGCGCGGGGCAACCUGUGCGGCGAGUGGCGAACGGGUGAGUAAUAUAUCGGAACGUACCCAGAAGUGGGGGAUAACGUAGCGAAAGUUACGCUAAUACCGCAUACGAUCUACGGAUGAAAGUGGGGGACCUUCGGGCCUCAUGCUUUUGGAGCGGCCGAUAUCUGAUUAGCUAGUUGGUGAGGUAAAGGCCCACCAAGGCGACGAUCAGUAGCUGGUCUGAGAGGACGACCAGCCACACUGGAACUGAGACACGGUCCAGACUCCUACGGGAGGCAGCAGUGGGGAAUUUUGGACAAUGGGCGCAAGCCUGAUCCAGCAAUGCCGCGUGAGUGAAGAAGGCCUUCGGGUUGUAAAGCUCUUUUGUCAGGGAAGAAACGGUUGCGGCUAAUAUCCGCGGCUAAUGACGGUACCUGAAGAAUAAGCACCGGCUAACUACGUGCCAGCAGCCGCGGUAAUACGUAGGGUGCAAGCGUUAAUCGGAAUUACUGGGCGUAAAGCGUGCGCAGGCGGUUUUGUAAGUCUGACGUGAAAGCCCCGGGCUCAACCUGGGAAUUGCGUUGGAGACUGCAAGGCUUGAAUCUGGCAGAGGGGGGUAGAAUUCCACGUGUAGCAGUGAAAUGCGUAGAGAUGUGGAGGAACACCGAUGGCGAAGGCAGCCCCCUGGGUCAAGAUUGACGCUCAUGCACGAAAGCGUGGGGAGCAAACAGGAUUAGAUACCCUGGUAGUCCACGCCCUAAACGAUGUCUACUAGUUGUCGGGUUUUAAUUAACUUGGUAACGCAGCUACGCGUGAAGUAGACCGCCUGGGGAGUACGGUCGCAAGAUUAAAACUCAAAGGAAUUGACGGGGACCCGCACAAGCGGUGGAUGAUGUGGAUUAAUUCGAUGCAACGCGAAAAACCUUACCUACCCUUGACAUGAAGGAA